Molecule: long non-coding RNA, 368 nt
Organism: Erpetoichthys calabaricus (reedfish)
Lineage: Eukaryota; Metazoa; Chordata; Cladistia; Polypteriformes; Polypteridae
Exons: 3
Source: RefSeq, a predicted model, not a curated record
UUCUGCUGAUAAGGUUAUGUGGUCUCGGAUUAUUGAUGUUGUGGUUGGAACUAUAGCAGCUGGAAGAUAAAGGCUUACUGCACCAUUGAAUAACAGUCAUUCUCAGUCAAUAAUGAAGCAGAUAUAAGAGUACAGUAGUGAGUGCCUGCCUCACAAGCGAUCAUCCUUGCAGCAAUAUCAGGAUUCCUGUUUAUAAGGUUGCAACAAUUGACUGCUUUCUGAGUUGAGAUUUUGUUUCUAGAAGUGAGUCUGCCAUGAAAGUUUGAGGUGAAUUAUGAACACAGUACAAGGGGACCUUGAAGUUAUUCUGGAAUUUCUGGAAGAACACAGGAGAUGUAAGAAAGAAAAUGAUCAAGAUUUCAUUAGAG